AUUUGUUACAGCAACAGAAAGCUGCCUACCAUAUUGUGGAGGGUUAAAGAAGGGCUGUCAGGGCUGGGCAUUUAGCUCAGAGCUGCCGCUGAGCAAGGUCCCAAGUUUGAUCCCCAGAACAAAAAAAAAAAAAAGAAAGGAUUGUCAGUCCCUGCUUGGACCUCUGCCUGGGGGGUUCUGGAGGCAAGGAAACCAAGAUUCAAUGAAUUUAAAUAUAUUUCCAAGAUCAAUAAGCAAUACACACAAAGAAGAGAAACUAAGAUAAAGGAAAUGUGAAGCAACUUGUGCUAGAAAGCCCAUAGGAAAAGCCUGAGGCCAAGUUGCAACAUCUAGGUCCCUUCUCAGACUGAUGCACAGUGGGCUGGAUCAGCUGAUAAAGCUUUCUUGAGAUGACACCCUAACCUGCUUUAACAACCCCAAAGUUCAUCUAAGGAAGUGAGAUUUUUUUUUCUUUCCUAAGUAACAGUCUGAGUUUGGGGUUUUCGGAUGGCCCUGCCAUUCAUUCCCAAGCCAGGAGCAUUUUCUGUGUAGUCCAAGCUGAGCUGCACAAAUCUGACCAUAUGUACUCAAGC
Molecule: long non-coding RNA, 572 nt
Filed under: Fukomys damarensis (Damara mole-rat)
Lineage: Eukaryota; Metazoa; Chordata; Mammalia; Rodentia; Bathyergidae
Description: lncRNA (ENSFDAG00000022809.1)
Source: RNAcentral